GUGGGGAAUCUUGCGCAAUGGGCGAAAGCCUGACGCAGCCAUGCCGCGUGAAUGAUGAAGGUCUUAGGAUUGUAAAAUUCUUUCACCGGGGACGAUAAUGACGGUACCCGGAGAAGAAGCUCCGGCUAACUUCGUGCCAGCAGCCGCGGUAAUACGAAGGGGGCUAGCGUUGCUCGGAAUUACUGGGCGUAAAGGGCGCGUAGGCGGACAGCUUAGUCAGAGGUGAAAGCCCAGGGCUCAACCUUGGAAUUGCCUUUGAUACUGGAUGUCUUGAGUUUGGGAGAGGUGAGUGGAACUCCGAGUGUAGAGGUGAAAUUCGUAGAUAUUCGGAAGAACACCAGUGGCGAAGGCGACUCACUGGCCCAAUACUGACGCUGAGGCGCGAAAGCGUGGGGAGCAAACAGGAUUAGAAACCCGGGUAGUCC
Molecule: ribosomal RNA, 425 nt
Filed under: uncultured bacterium
Lineage: Bacteria
Description: partial 16S ribosomal RNA
Rfam family: Bacterial small subunit ribosomal RNA
Source: RNAcentral